UGCGUAGGCGGACUAAUAAGUCAGUGGUGAAAUAUUUCGGCUCAACCGAGAAACUGCCAUUGAUACUGUUAGUCUUGAGUUCGGUUGAGGUAGGCGGAAUGUGUAAUGUAGCGGUGAAAUGCUUAGAUAUUACACAGAACACCAAUUGCGUAGGCAGCUUACUAAACCGACACUGACGCUGAGGCACGAAAGCGUGGGGAGCGAACAGGAUUAGAUACCCUGGUAGUCC
This 229-nucleotide ribosomal RNA is filed under the name uncultured bacterium. RNAcentral describes it as "partial 16S ribosomal RNA". It matches the Rfam family "Bacterial small subunit ribosomal RNA", at positions 568 to 796 of the family's 1533-position model. The record is from RNAcentral.